Molecule: long non-coding RNA, 919 nt
Organism: Vigna angularis (adzuki bean)
Lineage: Eukaryota; Viridiplantae; Streptophyta; Magnoliopsida; Fabales; Fabaceae
Exons: 6
Source: RefSeq, a predicted model, not a curated record
GUCUUUCUCGAAAAUAACUUUCAUUCUCACACCGUGCCCAUGUUUCAUCUUCUUCUUGACCAGAAUCACUGCGAGCAUGGUGGCGACGGUACUGGUGCGGCCAGCUCCACUCUCCACUCCUUCUUCUUCUUCUGCACCUUCGUCAAACGGUUGAAGCUGUCGUCAUCCAGCUCUCCUUCAUCGACGACAGUAGUUGCUUCUGGCCUGACCGGCAUCGUUGUGAGCUCCCUCCCUUUCUUCAUUCGAUUUUUUCAUCUGGUGGGAGGGGUUUUGCUCUUCCUUCUUCAUUCUUCCCAAAUCUGGUUCCCUAUGAAGGAUCUAGCGAGGCGUGUCACCGCAUUCGGUAUCGGUCAGAGUAAUCGUCGUGCGAUGCAACAUAGGCUCAACAUCAAUCACGUGGGAAAGUGAAGAUAAAGAUAUCAAAGAAGGAGUUGGCAUAACUUUAUGAGAAGCAACACCCGAGAGCUUCUGCAGAACAAGUUCUGCUUCGCUUGAUAAAAGCCAGAAAUGAUGUUAAAGUAAAGGCCCUGUAUAACGAGCUUAAUCUUAAGAGAUAAGGCGUUUCUAUGGGGUGGAGCAUGGUGGGGGAUAUGAUGCUUGGAGAAAAACUUCAGCUUUAGCUACCCCUUUUGAUUUUGACAAAGCACAAUCCACAAAGCCAAAAGGUCAUUGUGUGGCUGUGCGAGUGACUAGUGAGGACCCCGAUGAUGGCUUUAAGCCUACGAGUGGCAAAGUGCAGGAGCUUAGCUUUAAAAGCAAGCCAAAUGUGUGGGCAUACUUCUCUGUCAAGGUAUUUGAAAAAGGAAGCAUAUCAAAUGAUGGAAAAAAUGAAGAAGUACCAAAUGACGAAGACAAUGAAAAAGUAUCAAAUGAUGAAGACAAUUGAAGAAGUACAAAACUAUAAUUAUUAUUCAUAACA